Phyllostomus hastatus (greater spear-nosed bat) is the source of this 643-nucleotide long non-coding RNA. RefSeq lists it as uncharacterized. The transcript has 3 exons. NCBI's taxonomy places the organism in Eukaryota, Metazoa, Chordata, Mammalia, Chiroptera, Phyllostomidae. The record is from RefSeq and is a predicted model, not a curated record.
UGACAGCAUUGGCUUUGGAAGUGGGAGUUAGUCAUCCAGGAAAAUGAGGAGAUAUGAUCUCUUUGCUCAAGAAACCUGGAUGCCGAAAUCCAGGAUUCUUGCCAGGCCACGUCUCCAAUAAUGUGAAGGGAUCUAAGGAAAAAUUUCUCUGGAAAUUCUUUCACCCUCUGCUUUUGAACAUGCCGGUCAUACUAAUGGAUCCCACUCCAAGGUCUGGCCUCGGUUUCUUCAUUGAAAACUCUGCAGCCCUCACCCCAUCCCAGAAGAUUUGUAAAUGCAAAAGCCAGAUGGCACUGGAGGAAGAAACAAAGACUCAGCAAGCUUCAGGAACUGCGCCAAGGUCACAGGGCUAAGGAGGCAACUGGGGCAGGAUAUGAACCAAAGCUUAUACUGCAGACCUACUAAAUGACCUAUGGUAUGUCCAUGCCAUCCUGGUCUCACUGCUAGUCCUUUUGAUCCCAGCCCUGACCUCACCUCCCCCAGGAAGUCUCCCCAACUCCUACCCCUGACUAGAUGAGAGUUUUACCUGGGCUCCCCCAGCACCUGCACUCUGUGCAUCCCUGACUAUAGCACUUGAACUGCAUCAAAAGUGCUUUCAGAUCAGUAGUUACAGUGGAUGGGGAGAGAGGAAGGGACAAAUUAU